UACGAGAGGCCCAAACGUUAUUCGGAAUUACUGGGCUUAAAGAGUUCGUAGGCGGUAUGAAAAGCAGGGUGUGAAAGCCCUCGGCUCAACCGAGGAAUUGCGCUCUGAACUGUCGUUCUAGAGGAAUCUAGAGGUGAGCGGAACUGAUGGUGGAGCGGUGAAAUGCGUUGAUAUCAUCAGGAACACCGGAGGCGAAGGCGGCUCACUGGGGAUUUUCUGACGCUGAGGAACGAAAGCCAGGGGAGCGAACGGG
Molecule: ribosomal RNA, 253 nt
Filed under: uncultured bacterium
Lineage: Bacteria
Description: partial 16S ribosomal RNA
Rfam family: Bacterial small subunit ribosomal RNA
Source: RNAcentral